RNAcentral lists this long non-coding RNA (451 nucleotides) under Ananas comosus (pineapple). RNAcentral's name for it is "long non-coding RNA (ACOM_LNC014131)". Lineage: Eukaryota; Viridiplantae; Streptophyta; Magnoliopsida; Poales; Bromeliaceae. The record is from RNAcentral.
CAAAGAAAGCUAUCUAAUAAAAAAUAAUUUGCGAAAACCUAUAAAAUAACUAACUAUAUAUAUAUAUCUAGUGCGGUUAACUAAGAAUUUGAUAAUUAAUAUCCGAAGUUCAAAUUCGAUAGCUAGUUGUUUCAAAUUUCUAACUGAAUUUAUUUAUUAAAAUUCGAUAGAGUAUGCAGAUAGCUUGCCGUCAAAGUUUCAAAAAAGAAAAAAGCCGUAAAAUACCCACUCAUGUUUGUAUAUAUGUAGAUCACGUAAAAAAAGAGCCAACUGCUGAAGAAUAAAUACUGAUUUAUGUUAUGUUACGCUUAGCUGCUCAUGUGACAUGAAAAUUGCACUCAUAAUUUCGUGAAAUGAAGAAAGUUUAGAAUUGCCUUCGGUAUUAAAUUAAUAAGAUCGAUCUGAUAGAAAAUAAUAAAUGUCAAUAAUUAUCAAGAGAAAUUUAACUAGA